CACGGGGGGAGCAAGCGUUGUUCGGAAUCACUGGGCGUAAAGGGCGUGUAGGCGGUUAGGUAAGUGGGAUGUGAAAGCCCCCGGCUCACCCGGGGACCUGCAUUCCAAACUGCUUGACUUGAGUAUGGGAGAGGAUAGGGGAAUUCCUGGUGUAGCGGUGAAAUGCGUAGAUAUCAGGAGGAACACCGGUGGCGAAGGCGCCUAUCUGGCCCAAUACUGACGCUGAGGCGCGAAAGCUAGGGGAGCAAACGGG
Molecule: ribosomal RNA, 253 nt
Filed under: uncultured bacterium
Lineage: Bacteria
Description: partial 16S ribosomal RNA
Rfam family: Bacterial small subunit ribosomal RNA
Source: RNAcentral